Molecule: long non-coding RNA, 256 nt
Filed under: Physcomitrium patens
Lineage: Eukaryota; Viridiplantae; Streptophyta; Bryopsida; Funariales; Funariaceae
Description: long non-coding RNA (PPAT_LNC001297)
Source: RNAcentral
AAAAUAAAAAACCAAGAACUAAUAAAUGGCCAAUAUCCACUCUAUGAUUUACUAAGAUCUAUUCAAUAUCAAAUACAAAGAAGAAAAUAAAAUAAAAUAAAAUAAAAUUUGAUAGAAUCUAAAGUAGCUUAGACUUGUAUUAGUAGGGAUGCAACUAUAAAUUAGGAUUUUAAUUCUAUUAAUGCAUUUUAAUUGGUGGAUUGAUUAAAAAAAUAUUUUAAAAUCAUUUAAUUAUAGUAAUAUUAAGAUUAAAAAU